This 631-nucleotide unclassified non-coding RNA is filed under the name Melitaea cinxia (Glanville fritillary). Its description in RNAcentral is "misc RNA ENSMCXG00005004610.1". Lineage: Eukaryota; Metazoa; Arthropoda; Insecta; Lepidoptera; Nymphalidae. The record is from RNAcentral.
CACUCCGGGAUAUGAUUCAAAUAGCAGAAUAGAGACCAAUCUUGCCUCGUAACUAUACUGUAAUAGUCAAUAUAAAGCCUUUGUUUAUGAAUAAUAUUUGUAAACUUAUACAGAAAUAAUUUUUUAAUUAUAAAAAAAGUGAGUUGAACUCCGAAGCGUGCUAUGUUCAUUAGAAUUUUAGUAUUAUUAUUAUUGAUUAUAGAAAAUGUUACUGUGGGUCUGUUUCGACGGUUGAUGUUAAAGUUUAUCUCGCACAUAAGUUAUAGAUAGGUUUAUCAGUAGAAAGAUUUCAACUUAAAUAAUGAUUUACAACUUAUGAAUUAAGUUUCCGAAUAAAAACUCUUGAAAAUGAAAGUAGAGUUCGAUUAUGAAACAGAAAAAUAUGUUAUAACUCGACUUUCAUCUGUUGGAUAUCGUUAUACGUCAGAUAGCUUUAUCAAGAACCGGCGAAACAAGCGUUGUAUUAAAUAUUAUAAUUAGUAAAUGCUUAGAAUAUGAAUUUGAUUUAUUUCUGUGGCAUUUCUACGUUCAAAUGGUACUUAUUAAGACUUGUUGCAACUUUUUAACAGCACAUGUGGUACGUUACAGGUGAUUAUAGUAGAGAAUAAUAAAUAAUAAUGUUUUGAUAUAU